RNAcentral lists this ribosomal RNA (308 nucleotides) under uncultured Anoxybacillus sp. Its description in RNAcentral is "bacterial SSU rRNA". It matches the Rfam family "Bacterial small subunit ribosomal RNA", at positions 1074 to 1382 of the family's 1533-position model. The record is from RNAcentral. Lineage: Bacteria; Bacillati; Bacillota; Bacilli; Caryophanales; Anoxybacillaceae.
GUUGGGUAAGUCCCGCAACGAGCGCAACCCUCGACCUUAGUUGCCAGCAUUCAGUUGGGCACUCUAAGGUGACUGCCGGCUAAAAAGUCGGAGGAAGGUGGGGAUGACGUCAAAUCAUCAUGCCCCUUAUGACCUGGGCUACACACGUGCUACAAUGGGCGGUACAAAGGGGUCGCGAACCCGCGAGGGGGAGCCAAUCCCAAAAAGCCGCUCUCAGUUCGGAUUGCAGGCUGCAACUCGCCUGCAUGAAGCCGGAAUCGCUAGUAAUCGCGGAUCAGCAUGCCGCGGUGAAUACGUUCCCGGGCCUU